AGAAUCAACGCUGGCGGCGUGCCUAACACAUGCAAGUCGAACGAGAAAGUGGGAGCAAUCCCACGAGUAAAGUGGCGCACGGGUGAGUAACACGUGACUAACCUACCCUUGAGUGGGGGAUAACCUAGGGAAACCUGGGCUAAUACCGCAUAAUACCUACGGGUCGAAAGGAGCAAUUCGCUUAAGGAGGGGUCGCGGCAGAUUAGUUAGUUGGCGGGGUAAUGGCCCACCAAGACAGUGAUCUGUA
RNAcentral lists this ribosomal RNA (247 nucleotides) under uncultured bacterium. Its description in RNAcentral is "partial small subunit ribosomal RNA". It matches the Rfam family "Bacterial small subunit ribosomal RNA", at positions 26 to 285 of the family's 1533-position model. The record is from RNAcentral.